RNAcentral lists this unclassified non-coding RNA (354 nucleotides) under soil metagenome. Its description in RNAcentral is "partial contains 5.8S ribosomal RNA, internal transcribed spacer 2, and large subunit ribosomal RNA". The stretch from base 1 to 120 matches the Rfam family "5.8S ribosomal RNA", at positions 35 to 154 of the family's 154-position model. The record is from RNAcentral.
GAUGAAGAACGCAGCGAAAUGCGAUAAGUAGUGUGAAUUGCAGAAUUCAGUGAAUCAUCGAAUCUUUGAACGCACAUUGCGCCUUCUAGUAUUCUGGGAGGCAUGCCUGUUUGAGCGUCAUUAAACCUCUCUCAAGUAUGAUUACUUGGAUGUGAAGGAAGAGUACCUUAAACUUAAGGAGUGUUCUCCUUUGAAAUUGAUUAGCAGAUGGUAAUGUUAUUAAAUCCCUGAUGUUGUAAGAAAUAACAGUGGUUUUGUAGACUAUUAUCUAGCUUUAAAUUAUAAUUUUUAUUAUGGUUGACCUCAAAUCAGGUAAGGAUACCCGCUGAACUUAAGCAUAUCAAUAAGCGGAGA